CGCGGGGUGGAGAAGCCGGUAUCUCGCCAGGCCCAUAACCUGGAGACCGAGGGUUCGAAUCCCUCCCCCGCCA
This 73-nucleotide transfer RNA is filed under the name Brachybacterium kimchii. RNAcentral's name for it is "Brachybacterium sp. CBA3104 tRNA-Met". It matches the Rfam family "tRNA". From Rfam's summary of the family: Transfer RNA (tRNA) molecules are approximately 80 nucleotides in length. Their secondary structure includes four short double-helical elements and three loops (D, anti-codon, and T loops). The record is from RNAcentral. Lineage: Bacteria; Bacillati; Actinomycetota; Actinomycetes; Micrococcales; Dermabacteraceae.